CCGCUACGGUCUACCUAGCUGUCGUGACAAAAAUAAUGAGUUUCUCGGUGCUCGACACCGAUGGGCGAGACUUUCUGCACCAGAUCCUAUUAACUUUUACAUGUACAGAUAAUUUGAAAUGGCUGAUGUGUUAAAGAUACGCUUAUAUUGACUGCCGUUGGAUGCAGAGCAUAAAGGUGGACCUGGGCGUCGAACGAGGUUCUUUGGGAGCACAUUCGUGCCAAGUGCGAUCGAUCCUGGCUGCAGCAAUUGCUGGUGGAAUCGCUGACGGGUUUAAGGAGCCAUAUGCUUGAAAUGAGGGUAUGUGGACUGGUAACUAGAUAUUAGAUGUUGUAGUCUGGUCGUACCGAAAAAAGUCGCCAUGCG
This 366-nucleotide small RNA is filed under the name Cryptococcus neoformans H99. RNAcentral's name for it is "Cryptococcus neoformans var. grubii H99 hypothetical RNA". Lineage: Eukaryota; Fungi; Basidiomycota; Tremellomycetes; Tremellales; Cryptococcaceae. The record is from RNAcentral.